UGGUCAGGUAGAGAAUACCAAGGCGCUUGAGAGAACUCGGGUGAAGGAACUAGGCAAAAUGGUGCCGUAACUUCGGGAGAAGGCACGCUGAUAUGUAGGUGAAGUCCCUCGCGGAUGGAGCUGAAAUCAGUCGAAGAUACCAGCUGGCUGCAACUGUUUAUUAAAAACACAGCACUGUGCAAACACGAAAGUGGACGUAUACGGUGUGACGCCUGCCCGGUGCCGGAAGGUUAAUUGAUGGGGUCAGCGCAAGCGAAGCUCUUGAUCGAAGCCCCGGUAAACGGCGGCCGUAACUAUAACGGUCCUAAGGUAGCGAAAUUCCUUGUCGGGUAAGUUCCGACCUGCACGAAUGGCGUAAUGAUGGCCAGGCUGUCUCCACCCGAGACUCAGUGAAAUUGAACUCGCUGUGAAGAUGCAGUGUACCCGCGGCAAGACGGAAAGACCCCGUGAACCUUUACUAUAGCUUGACACUGAACAUUGAGCCUUGAUGUGUAGGAUAGGUGGGAGGCUUUGAAGUGUGGACGCCAGUCUGCAUGGAGCCGACCUUGAAAUACCACCCUUUAAUGUUUGAUGUUCUAACGUGGACCCGUGAUCCGGGUUGCGGACAGUGUCUGGUGGGUAGUUUGACUGGGGCGGUCUCCUCCUAAAGAGUAACGGAGGAGCACGAAGGUUGGCUAAUCCUGGUCGGACAUCAGGAGGUUAGUGCAAUGGCAUAAGCCAGCUUGACUGCGAGCGUGACGGCGCGAGCAGGUGCGAAAGCAGGUCAUAGUGAUCCGGUGGUUCUGAAUGGAAGGGCCAUCGCUCAACGGAUAAAAGGUACUCCGGGGAUAACAGGCUGAUACCGCCCAAGAGUUCAUAUCGACGGCGGUGUUUGGCACCUCGAUGUCGGCUCAUCACAUCCUGGGGCUGAAGUAGGUCCCAAGGGUAUGGCUGUUCGCCAUUUAAAGUGGUACGCGAGCUGGGUUUAGAACGUCGUGAGACAGUUCGGUCCCUAUCUGCCGUGGGCGCUGGAGAACUGAGGGGGGCUGCUCCUAGUACGAGAGGACCGGAGUGGACGCAUCACUGGUGUUCGGGUUGUCAUGCCAAUGGCACUGCCCGGUAGCUAAAUGCGGAAGAGAUAAGUGCUGAAAGCAUCUAAGCACGAAACUUGCCCCGAGAUGAGUUCUCCCUGACCCUUUAAGGGUCCUGAAGGAACGUUGAAGACGACGACGUUGAUAGGCCGGGUGUGUAAGCGCAGCGAUGCGUUGAGCUAACCGGUACUAAUGAACCGUGAGGCUUAACCUU
RNAcentral lists this ribosomal RNA (1284 nucleotides) under Escherichia coli. RNAcentral describes it as "partial 23S ribosomal RNA". It matches the Rfam family "Bacterial large subunit ribosomal RNA", at positions 1664 to 2925 of the family's 2925-position model. Lineage: Bacteria; Pseudomonadati; Pseudomonadota; Gammaproteobacteria; Enterobacterales; Enterobacteriaceae. The record is from RNAcentral.